RNAcentral lists this ribosomal RNA (447 nucleotides) under uncultured organism. Its description in RNAcentral is "partial 16S ribosomal RNA". It matches the Rfam family "Bacterial small subunit ribosomal RNA", at positions 334 to 797 of the family's 1533-position model. The record is from RNAcentral.
CACUCCUGCGGGAGGCAGCAGUGGGGAAUAUUGGACAAUGGGCGCAAGCCUGAUCCAGCCAUGCCGCGUGAGUGAUGAAGGCCCUAGGGUUGUAAAGCUCUUUCACCGGUGAAGAUAAUGACGGUAACCGGAGAAGAAGCCCCGGCUAACUUCGUGCCAGCAGCCGCGGUAAUACGAAGGGGGCUAGCGUUGUUCGGAUUUACUGGGCGUAAAGCGCACGUAGGCGGACUAUUAAGUCAGGGGUGAAAUCCCGGGGCUCAACCCCGGAACUGCCUUUGAUACUGGUAGUCUUGAGUUCGAGAGAGGUGAGUGGAAUUCCGAGUGUAGAGGUGAAAUUCGUAGAUAUUCGGAGGAACACCAGUGGCGAAGGCGGCUCACUGGCUCGAUACUGACGCUGAGGUGCGAAAGCGUGGGGAGCAAACAGGAUUAGAUACCCCUGUAAUCCCA